UACGGGGGGGGCAAGCGUUGUUCGGAUUUACUGGGCGUAAAGGGCGCGUAGGCGGCGUGACAAGUCACUUGUGAAAUCUCCGGGCUUAACCCGGAGCGGCCAAGUGAUACUGUCGUGCUAGAGUGCGGAAGGGGCUACUGGAAUUCUCGGUGUAGCGGUGAAAUGCGUAGAUAUCGAGAGGAACACCUGCGGCGAAGGCGGGUAGCUGGGCCGACACUGACGCUGAGGCGCGAAAGCCAGGGGAGCGAACGGG
RNAcentral lists this ribosomal RNA (253 nucleotides) under uncultured bacterium. Its description in RNAcentral is "partial 16S ribosomal RNA". It matches the Rfam family "Bacterial small subunit ribosomal RNA", at positions 524 to 776 of the family's 1533-position model. The record is from RNAcentral.